UACGUAGGGUGCAAGCGUUGUCCGGAAUUAUUGGGCGUAAAGAGCGUGUAGGCGGCUCGGUAAGUCCGCUGUAAAAGUCAAAGGCUCAACCUUUGAAUGUCAGUGGAUACUGCCGGGCUAGAGUCCGGAAGAGGCGAGUGGAACUCCUGGUGUAGCGGUGGAAUGCGCAGAUAUCAGGAAGAACACCAACGGCGAAGGCAGCUCGCUGGGACGGUACUGACGCUGAGACGCGAAAGCGUGGGGAGCGAACAGG
This 253-nucleotide ribosomal RNA is filed under the name uncultured bacterium. RNAcentral describes it as "partial 16S ribosomal RNA". It matches the Rfam family "Bacterial small subunit ribosomal RNA", at positions 524 to 776 of the family's 1533-position model. The record is from RNAcentral.